AAGGACUGUGCUCCCAAUCCGCUUAUGCUCAAGGAAGAACUGGAAGGCCCAGAACCAGCCUGAUGUCAGGAUCAGAACAAAAGAGGAGGACUGCAUAUGUAUGGACCCACUCCAGAUGGCACGGGGACGGGGGGGAGUAGGAAAAGUGGCAUGAGACCAGGCCCACAGAGUAUGGCUGUGCAAGUUGUUUACUGUACGAGGGCACCUGGCCGGGGUCUUACCUUGAAUGGGGGAGAAGAGCUUGAAGAUGAGGGGACAGGCCAAGACAACUACCUGGCCCCGAGGGGUGGCUGGCCAGCAGAUGAGGGAAUGGAGGCACAGACUGAUUAGAAAACCAGCUCAAGGUCAUGUUGCUGCUCUCUCAUUCCUGUUGAGGGCUCUCUGGUGGAGCCUGUCUCACAGGCCACCUGCAGGCCAACACUCCCAGAAGCAGCUAGCACCAUGGUUGACCUCGUCCAGGUCCAGGGAAGGCCUCCCUCUCCAGGACUCCUUUAGAUUUCCCCAGCAUCCAGACCUCACCUGCCAAAGUGCCGUAGCCCUGGAAGCCACACAGUGAGCACGAGCUCCAUCUUGCACCUUUACCAGCCGAUGAGGGUAAAGACAUUAGCUGAAAUACUUCUAAGGGGCCAGGCGUGGUGACUCACGCUUGUAAUUCCAAGCACUUUGGCAGGCUGAGGCAGGUGGAUCACCUGAAGCCAGGAGUUCAAGAGCAGCCUGGCCAACAUGGCAAAACCCUGUCUAUACUAAAAAUACAAAAAUUA
This 761-nucleotide non-coding RNA is filed under the name Pongo abelii (Sumatran orangutan). The record is from RNAcentral. Lineage: Eukaryota; Metazoa; Chordata; Mammalia; Primates; Hominidae.